RNAcentral lists this small RNA (148 nucleotides) under Papio anubis (olive baboon). Its description in RNAcentral is "Metazoan signal recognition particle RNA (ENSPANG00000043905.1)". RNAcentral also lists the same sequence under 1 other name. The record is from Rfam by way of RNAcentral. Lineage: Eukaryota; Metazoa; Chordata; Mammalia; Primates; Cercopithecidae.
GCUGGGUGUGGUGGCGCAUGCCUGUAAUCUCAGCUACUCGGGAGGCUGAGGCAGGAGAAUUGCUUGAACCCAGGAGGCAGAGAUUGUGGUGAGCCGAGAUUGUGCCACUACACUCCAGCCUGGGUAACAGAGUGAAACUCUGUCUCAA